UUCCUUGUCGGGUAAGUUCCGACGCGCAUGAAUGGCGUAACGACUGGAGCACUGUCUCCACAACCAACUCGGUGAAAUAGUAGUGGCGGUGAAGAUGCCGCCUACCCGCGACAAGACGGAAAGACCCCAUGAACCUUUACUAUAGGCUUUUAUUGCACAUGAGUUUGUAUUGCGUAGGAUAGGUGGGAGGCUUUGAAACCAGACUUUCGGGUUUGGUGGAGCCGUCCUUGAAAUACCACCCUGUUUGUCGUGUUGACCUAACUUCGACCCAUGAAUCUGGGCGAAGGACCAUGUUAGCUGGGCAGUUUGACUGGGGCGGUCUCCUCCUAAAGAGUAACG
Molecule: ribosomal RNA, 339 nt
Filed under: Isochrysis galbana
Lineage: Eukaryota; Haptophyta; Isochrysidales; Isochrysidaceae
Description: partial Bacterial large subunit ribosomal RNA
Rfam family: Bacterial large subunit ribosomal RNA
Source: RNAcentral